ACUCAAAUGAAUAGACGGGGGCCCGCACAAGCAGCGGAGCGUGUGGUUUAAUUCGAUGGUACGCGAAGAACCUUACCUGGGUUUGACAUAGCCGUAGUAGUCAGGUGAAAGCCGAGCGACCCUUCGGGGAGCGGUUACAGGUGCUGCAUGGCUGUCGUCAGCUCGUGUCGUGAGAUGUUGGGUUAAGUCCCGCAACGAGCGCAACCCCCGUCGUUAGUUACAAGUGUCUAACGAGACUGCUGGUAUCAAACCGGAGGAAGGUGGGGAUGACGUCAAGUCAGCAUGGUCUUUAUAUCCAGGGCGACACACACGCUACAAUGGCCGGUACAACAGGUUGCGACCGCGUCAGCGGAGGCUAAUCCCCAAAGCCGGUCUCAGUUCAGAUUGUCGUCUGCAACCCGACGGCAUGAAGGCGGAGUUGCUAGUAACCGCGCGUCAGCCAUAGUGCGGUGAAUGCGUUCCCGGGCCUUGUACACACCGCCCGU
This 485-nucleotide ribosomal RNA is filed under the name uncultured bacterium. Its description in RNAcentral is "partial 16S ribosomal RNA". It matches the Rfam family "Bacterial small subunit ribosomal RNA", at positions 899 to 1397 of the family's 1533-position model. The record is from RNAcentral.